RNAcentral lists this ribosomal RNA (492 nucleotides) under uncultured bacterium. RNAcentral's name for it is "partial 16S ribosomal RNA". It matches the Rfam family "Bacterial small subunit ribosomal RNA", at positions 29 to 507 of the family's 1533-position model. The record is from RNAcentral.
AGCGAACGCUGGCGGUAGGCCUAACACAUGCAAGUCGAACGGCAGCACAGUAAGAGCUUGCUCUUACGGGUGGCGAGUGGCGGACGGGUGAGGAAUACAGCGGAAUCUACUUUUUCGUGGGGGAUAACGUAGGGAAACUUACGCUAAUACCGCAUACGACCUACGGGUGAAAGCAGGGGAUCUUCGGACCUUGCGCGACUGAAUGAGCCGAUGUCGGAUUAGCUAGUUGGCGGGGUAAAGGCCGACCAAGGCGACGAUCCGUAGCUGGUCUGAGAGGAUGAUCCGCCACACUGGAACUGAGACACGGUCCAGGCUCCUACGGGAGGCAGCAGUGGGGAAUAUUGGCCAAUGGGCGCAAGCCUGCUCCAGCCAUACCGCGUGGGUGCAGCAGGCCUUCGGGUUGUAAAGCCCUUUUGUUGGGAAAGAAAAGCAGCAGGUUAAUACCCCGCUGUUCUGACGGUACCCAAAGAAUAAGCACCGGCUAACUUCGUG